This 468-nucleotide ribosomal RNA is filed under the name uncultured bacterium. RNAcentral's name for it is "partial 16S ribosomal RNA". It matches the Rfam family "Bacterial small subunit ribosomal RNA", at positions 28 to 507 of the family's 1533-position model. The record is from RNAcentral.
GACGAACGCUGGCGGCGUGCUUAACACAUGCAAGUCGAACGGAAAGGCCCUGCUUUUGUGGGGUGCUCGAGUGGCGAACGGGUGAGUAACACGUGAGUAACCUGCCCUUGACUUUGGGAUAACUUCAGGAAACUGGGGCUAAUAACGGAUAGGAGCUCCUGCUGCAUGGAGGGGGUUGGAAAGUUUCGUCGGUUGGGGGUGGACGCGCGGCUUAUGAGCUUGUUGGUGGGGUAGUGGCUUACCAAGGCGUUGACGGGUAGCCGGCCUGAGAGGGGGACCGGCCACAUUGGGACUGCGAUACGGCCCAGACUCCUACGGGAGGCAGCAGUGGGGAAUAUUGCACAAUGGGCGGAAGCCUGAUGCAGCAACGCCGCGUGCGGGAUGACGGCCUGCGGGUUGUAAACCGCUUUCGCCUGUGACGAAGCGUGAGUGACGGUAAUGGGUAAAGAAGCACCGGCUAACUACGUG